CAGAGGUUGAACCCUGAACGGUUGGGGCAAAUAUGGACACAACAUUCAAGCUGGAUUCAGCUCUAAAUUUGGAUUGUGAUUAAAUAGUUGACACAGCAUAGGUUUCUGACACAGAAUGAAUGUGGUCUAAUGAACUUAAACAAAAAAUUUUGCCUUUAAGCAAUUCACUAUGCUGUUGAAUAUUAAUCCUCUCAAAAAAAUGUUUGAAGAAAUUUUCUUUUUAUUUAUGAAAUCUGAAAUGAAAAAAAUU
This 250-nucleotide long non-coding RNA is filed under the name Mytilus galloprovincialis (Mediterranean mussel). The record is from RNAcentral. Lineage: Eukaryota; Metazoa; Mollusca; Bivalvia; Mytilida; Mytilidae.